AUGGUUGUAGUGUAUAGGUUAAAAUGUCACAGGGAUUGUCAUCGAAAUACCAAAUUAAGAAACCAGUUAAGUUCGAAAUUAAAGUCACAAAUGCGAAAUUUCUUAAAACAAUGUUUAAUAUCUGUGGAAAUUUUGCCUCAUUUUCUCAAUAUAUUUUCUUUGUUCUGGUGGAGAGACCCUUCCUUCCAUGGUAGUUCUUAA
This is a non-coding RNA of Vicia faba (fava bean), 201 nucleotides long. Lineage: Eukaryota; Viridiplantae; Streptophyta; Magnoliopsida; Fabales; Fabaceae. The record is from the annotation of a GenBank genome assembly.